ACGAGUAAGGGCAUAUCAAGCAACGAAAUGCUCCAGGGAGUUGGAAAUAAGCAUAGAUCCAGAGAUUCUCAAAUAGGUCAACCUUUUAAACCGUCUGCUAAGUCCAUGAGCAGGCAAGAGACAACCUGGCGAACUUAAACAUCUUAGUAACCAGAGGAAAGAAAGCAAAAUCGAUUCCCGCAGCAGCGGCGUGCGAAUGGGAGCAGCCUAAACUGUGAGAACAGGGUUGUGGGAGAGCAAUACAAGGGUUGUGCUGCUAGGCUAAGCA
Non-coding RNA from Triticum aestivum (bread wheat), 268 nucleotides. The record is from Rfam. NCBI's taxonomy places the organism in Eukaryota, Viridiplantae, Streptophyta, Magnoliopsida, Poales, Poaceae.